This 501-nucleotide ribosomal RNA is filed under the name uncultured bacterium. RNAcentral's name for it is "partial 16S ribosomal RNA". It matches the Rfam family "Bacterial small subunit ribosomal RNA", at positions 28 to 506 of the family's 1533-position model. The record is from RNAcentral.
GACGAACGCUGGCGGCGUGCCUAAUACAUGCAAGUCGAACGAACCGCGACUAGGUGCUUGCACUUGGUCAAGGUGAGUGGCGAACGGGUGAGUAACACGUGGGUAACCUACCUCAUAGUGGGGGAUAACAGUCGGAAACGACUGCUAAUACCGCAUAGGACAUAGGAUCACAUGAUUCUGUGAGGAAAGGUGGCGCAAGCUAUCGCUAAGAGAUGGACCCGCGGUGCAUUAGCUAGUUGGUAGGGUAAAGGCCUACCAAGGCGAUGAUGCAUAGCCGACCUGAGAGGGUGAUCGGCCACAUUGGGACUGAGACACGGCCCAAACUCCUACGGGAGGCAGCAGUAGGGAAUCUUCCGCAAUGGACGCAAGUCUGACGGAGCAACGCCGCGUGAGUGAAGAAGGUCUUCGGAUCGUAAAGCUCUGUUGUUAGAGAAGAACAGCGCAUAGAGUAACUGUUAUGCGUGUGACGGUAUCUAACCAGAAAGCCACGGCUAACUACGU